GCAAAGAAAGACUGGCAACGCCCUGCAUCAGAAAGAUUUGCUGAGAUUCCUGAGCCAAAGUUUUCUCCUCCUCACUGAUCAGCAUUUCAAAUAUUUCAAAUCAGAGUUUCUGUUUGUCAUUAUAAUUUUGCCUUUUGUUCAACUUUAUGACUAAAUUACUCCUGAAUGAAAUAAACAUAUACUGACUUGA
Protopterus annectens (West African lungfish) is the source of this 190-nucleotide long non-coding RNA. RefSeq lists it as uncharacterized. The record is from RefSeq and is a predicted model, not a curated record. The transcript is spliced from 2 exons. Lineage: Eukaryota; Metazoa; Chordata; Ceratodontiformes; Protopteridae.